Molecule: ribosomal RNA, 487 nt
Filed under: Enterococcus sp. oral taxon A43
Lineage: Bacteria; Bacillati; Bacillota; Bacilli; Lactobacillales; Enterococcaceae
Description: bacterial SSU rRNA
Rfam family: Bacterial small subunit ribosomal RNA
Source: RNAcentral
GACGAACGCUGGCGGCGUGCCUAAUACAUGCAAGUCGAACGCUUCUUUUUCACCGAACCUCGGUUCAUCGAAAAAGAGGAGUGGCGAACGGGUGAGUAACACGUGGGUAACCUGCCCAUCAGAAGGGGAUAACACUUGGAAACAGGUGCUAAUACCGUAUAAUGCUUUUUCUCGCAUGAGAGCAAGCUGAAAGGCGCUUUUGCGUCACUGAUGGAUGGACCCGCGGUGCAUUAGCUAGUUGGUGAGGUAACGGCUCACCAAGGCCACGAUGCAUAGCCGACCUGAGAGGGUGAUCGGCCACACUGGGACUGAGACACGGCCCAGACUCCUACGGGAGGCAGCAGUAGGGAAUCUUCGGCAAUGGACGAAAGUCUGACCGAGCAACGCCGCGUGAGUGAAGAAGGUUUUCGGAUCGUAAAACUCUGUUGUUAGAGAAGAACAAGGAUGAGAGUAAAAUGUUCAUCCCUUGACGGAUCUAACCAGAAAA